Molecule: long non-coding RNA, 266 nt
Organism: Felis catus (domestic cat)
Lineage: Eukaryota; Metazoa; Chordata; Mammalia; Carnivora; Felidae
Exons: 2
Source: RefSeq, a predicted model, not a curated record
UGCGUGCACAGAGACACUCACACAGGGAGAAUGCCAUGUGAAGACUGGAGUUAAAAUGGUCACUAGCCAAGGAACUAUGGGAAGCUUAGAGAGGUCUGGAACUGAUCCUUCCCUAGCACUUUCAAAGAGAUCAUGGCCUGCCAACACCCUGAUGCCAGACUGCUAGCUCCAGAACUCUUGAAGAUAUUAUGCAAAGGAGAAGGAAAGGGAAGAGAAGAACAAAAGGGAUAGGAAAUAAAGAAAAUGGCAACAUUGGUUAAAACUGA